CCUCUCCUCUCCUCUGUGAAGGGACUCAGCCAGGAGUGGGCCAGGGUCCUAAGUGGCCAAGGCUGUGACAGCACCUAACUGCAGAGCCAGGGGUGGGAUGAUCCCAGUGAGCGAGGCUGAGGAGCAGCUCGCAGGCCAGGAGGAAAGAGUGGUGGAGAUGGCUGGUAGGACCUGGACUUCGAGGGGCGCACCAGCUGGUGGCCAGCAAGGGCCUGCAGGAUCUGAACCAGCCAAAGGGCCCUGGGCGGCUUUGGCCACGCCCACGCGAAGCCACGCCCCAUGCCACGCCCCCAGCUGGUUGGGGAGAUGCUGGAGAUUGAACCCAGGGCUCGCACAAGCUGGGCUAGUGCGCCACCAACACCUCAGCUCAGUCCUUGCCCAGUUCCUAAGAGUCAGUUUCAAACCCAGAACCUGAUUGAAGAGACCUCAACAGCAGAAGGAAUCCUGACUGUGACCCCAGGGCUGCAGAAGCCCCAGGGUCUUGUGAGCUUGGAGGACUAGACGCAGAGGCUCUGGACUCUUUAUUACUCAGCAUUCCUCCACUGCGGUGAGCUUGGACAAAGUGCAGGGCCCCCAGCGCACUUGAGCGGGAACACUCAGAACAGGGUGUGUGCCCGCUGCACAGGGGCAGCUUUCCUGAUGUUAGAGGAGGCCCCUUACUGCACAACCUAGGGCGCUACUUGAUCCCCGCCCAGGCCUGGAGGCAAGGCAGUGGCCAGCUCCCCUCUCCUUGCCUCCUGGUUCUGUGCUUUGAGGUCCUCCUUAUCUCGCCCCCAGGAACAGCGGUUUUCUAGGCGCUGACAUGACCCCACACUAAGACCACCUGUGUCCCUCCCAUCUCUCCCCAGGAAGCUCUGCUCACUCCCUUGGGUAACUGGGCUCUGAGAAAAUGAAAAUACCCAAAUACAUUGAGCCUGGGUGGACACCGACUCCUACUGACACUGAUAACCUGAGACCAAAGCUUCUCAUUGUCCCCGCUUCUCUAGAGCAUCCAGGAGCCCUGAAGAAAGAGACUGGGCUUGGGCUGGAGCAGGUCUGCUGAGCCUGGUGCCUACUCAGGGCCCUUCCCCAGUUCCCAGAUGCACUUCAGAGUAGAGACCCUUGAAAGUGUUUUAUUAUAGCCAUUUGAAUCAGUAUGUGGUGGUAUCUCAAGGUGUUUUCAGUUUGCUUUUCCAAAUUG
This 1180-nucleotide long non-coding RNA is filed under the name Marmota monax (woodchuck). The record is from RNAcentral. Lineage: Eukaryota; Metazoa; Chordata; Mammalia; Rodentia; Sciuridae.